GGGAGCGUGAGAAGGGCCGGCUGCCGGAGCUGGGUUGCGAUCUUCCCGGAGCCGGAGACCCUCCCUCGAAACCGGCACUGGGACUUCUUGAUCUCUGGAGGCACCUGUUGCAAGUGACAGCGCUCGGCCGUCGAGCGGGGUCGCUAACCCGCACUCUCUUCGGACCUCCGACAUCGCGGCUUCUCUGGCGUUGGCCAGUCAGCCACAGGUAA
RNAcentral lists this small RNA (212 nucleotides) under Pan troglodytes (chimpanzee). Its description in RNAcentral is "processed transcript". The record is from RNAcentral. Lineage: Eukaryota; Metazoa; Chordata; Mammalia; Primates; Hominidae.